AAGAUCUGCAAAUUCCUCUAGAGCAUUCUCCAAGUUUUCCAAAUAAAAUUUGAAUUUCAAAUUCCAAAAACAUUCAAAAACCAAAAAAAGAGUAGAAAACAACAAAGAAAAAUCUAAAACAGGUAUUGUCCAUUGAAAUUUCAGAAGAAAUUGAGUCCCUAGAAUUUUGGAUUCGAGUUUCAAGCCAUUUUGGGUUCUUCAAGUUAUUCUAGGUGUUUCUAGUUGUUGAGGCUGUUGUCAUUUUUGGGCGUAUUCGAUUCCAAUUUGAGUCAAAUUAUGGGUAUAUUUGAGCUCUUUGGUUGAUGUCAAGUUGAUACUGGUUUAUUCAGUCAAUUUUGGGUCUGUUUGCUGGUGUUUUACUUUUGGGAUUCCAGACUUACUGUUGUGAUCUACUGCUAUUUGCUACUGAUUUUCCUUCUUCUUUCACUUUCAAUAACUCCAGGUAUGUUGCUAUAGAUCUCGAAUUUUGCACUGAAAAUAAAAUGUUGCUUGUGUGUUUUUUGCACUAGCAGCUAGUUCAUGAUUCUGUUGCAUUUCUGUGUAAAGUGAUCUAGUUUCAUUUAAAAUUGAAAGAUGUUAUUGUAUAUUGGACGUUAGUAUGUAGUUGUUUAUACUGAAGUAAAUUAGGACUGUUCAUAGAAUUAACAACUAUUUGAGACUGUAAUUAAGGACUGCUGGAAUUUAUUUAAUUUUCCGUUUCACCACAGCAAUUACUGCUAGUUUAAAGUUGUUUUAGCUUUUGGUUUGUUCUGUUGUAGUGGUUAAAUUCCGAAUGGGAAGUUAGUUAAUGAUGAAAUUCAUUCAAAAUAGAAGCAUCAGAAUGUUUGGGUAUGUUUAAAUUUUGAAAUGGUAUACUAACAGUCACUUGAGGUCACGUAUAUCUAGAUAUUCAAACAUGUGGGUCUUCUAUUGAUUCGGUUCUAGAUUUAGUCUGCAAAUAAGUGUUAUAAUACGUAUUGGUCAAUCAGUUGUUAAAAUUGGUAAAACAAGACGUUACGCUACACGUAUUGAAUAUGUAUGCAAAAUUGAUUUAAGGCCCACAUUUAAACUGAUUUAAACUGAAUAAGUGUUAUGCAUAAGUGAUGUUGAUAUGAAAAGCUGAUGUUAGAUUCUUGGGUUUAACUAGAUGGCCCGUGGUUGGAAGGUUGGGUUGGAUCUUCAUUUCCAUAAGGCCCCCGUUUGGGCUGUGUUUCGUGCUUCACUGAAAGUCUCAGUGAGACUUCUUUCGCUUAAAUUUAGAACUUGUUUGAAUAUUUAGCAAUGAUGUCUUAAAAUGUAAAUUAAUUAGGGCUUUUUCUUUAUUUUUAGAGACGAUACAUAAUAGAAAAUUGUAGUUGCUCUAGGUUGCGCUUUUAAAAUAAUAAAAUGAGGCUAGCUUUGCCAAAUAAAUGCAUAAAUUGUGGGGCCCUCUUUAAAUGUUCUUAUUAUAUACAUAGAAUUUGAGAUGUGACGUUUAGCAAAUUUUACGGUCUCCCGCAAAUAUAAUAAAUAUGCUAAUCGCUUUAGGCUCGUCAUUAACUAAUAUUACCUUCUUAAGAUUGGGUGAGCAUUUAUGUGACCCAAAUCUAAACCUCAACGAAGUCAAAAUGAGUCAAAAACCGCGAGUGCAUUUAUGUGCCGUGGUUCAAGACCCGUUUUCACAACGUUGAAAUUCUCUUUAAAAUAAUAACAAAAGCGGUUUAAAGUUAAAAAAGCACAAAAGUUACAACAUGUUUUAAAAUUAGGUAUAUAGCUAUUUAUAAUAGUUUAAGCGAUCGUGCUAGAACCACGGGAUCCAGGGACGCCUAACACCUUCCCUCGGGCCAAUAGAAUUCCUUACUUAGAAUUUCUUGGUAGCAGGCUCCAAUCUGGGAAGUCGAAAAUUUUCCUCGAUUCGGGAUUCAAGAAACCGGUGACAUGGGACACCAAAAGCCAAACCUAUCCCAAGUGGCGACUCUAAAUAAAUAAAUAAUUCCUAUUUGAAUAAUGUCACUUAAAAUAGAAAAAACUCCCUUAUACUUUAUCCUUCGGGGUAGAUGUAAAAAUGAGGUAUGACAUCGAGUGUCAAAGACAAGCAUGAUAUCAUUAUGAAUAUAAAGUCCGAAAAUUUAUCAAAAUAAUGAGUUACCACUGAUAUCUGAUAUAUUUGUGAUCGCUAAAUAUAUAGUUCCUUUAUUUAAUACGCACAUUUAUCUCUAAUUGUGUGUUUGAAAGUUUUCUUAACCAUGUUUAGAAGAGAAAUCAUAAAAGAUUUCUAAGUGGCUUAGCAUUCUUGGGUGAAUGUUAAGUAAAAAGUUUAUCCAAAAUUAACAUCAUUUUAUCCAAGUAACUAGGCACCUUAUUCCAAUUGUUUGGAAUAUGUGAAGUAUAUCAUUUUCAUCUAGGACUUUAUGAUAUGAUUGUACAUGUACAAAAAGAAUAUGAUUCUUCUUUGUGCCAAUAUCUUCAGUUCUUUACCUGGAUCACGGGCAUAAUGGCCUUUGAGCUAAUUGAAUUAACAGACUGACUUUGCCUAAUGAUUCUAAUCCUCUAAUUUAGAAAUGUUUCCCUAACUAAAAGAUCAAUAUUAAUUCAAAAGACUGAAGGAAAUCAAUGUUCCUACAUCAGACAUAAUUUUUUAAGCUAGAUUAAUUAUAAUAGCAGACACAAGGUUCCUGCAUGCAUUAUACUAGAGAAAAACCAAUACUAUUAUAUAAAAUUUGCAUUAUCAUGAUUUUAGACCUACAAACUUUUCUGCACUAGUUGGUUGACAAGAGGGUAGUGUAUAGUUUAAUUAUUGUUAGUGUUAGGUUUUUUAAAAGACCGUUCUCUUCUCCUUUCUUACUCUUCCGAGGAUGGUUCAGGGGGAGCUGGUUCCGCCUCCGGCUGAGGAGGGAAAUUUCAAUCGAUAUGCGGUAGCUUCGACAUGGAGCAGCAAGAAGAUUAAAAUUAUUGAUUGAAAAUGUCUUUCUUAAAUUUUAUUAACCAGCAGAGCUUUAAAUAGCUAACUUAAAACAAAAUCUACAAAAAAUUUGCAGUAUAAAUAUUUAAUUUGAAAAGCCUAGACUAUCUAAAUUAACUUAUCCAAUUCAAUUUAAAUUAAAAUAAAGAUUCUUCAUAUGACUAAACUACUUAUUAUUCUAGUAAAUCAAAUAUUAGCAGUAACAAAUGCAAAACCCAACACCCUUCCUUGCUUUUGUGGCUGCAAUCUAUAAAGGUCUAUCCUUCUCAAUUUCUGCUUUGGUAAUUUGUGCUUAUAUAUUCUUUCAAGUGUUUUUGAACUUGCUUCAUUCUACAAUAUGACUUGUUCUUUCUUUUUCUUUUUCUUCUGGUUUUGUACAUAAAAACAAUCUCAGCAACAUUGUCUUGUUUGAAUGUUCUUCCAAAUAAGUGUUAAUUUGGAUAAUAACAAGACUUGCAAAGCGUAUUUGUAAGGAUCUUUCUUCUAUUACAAUAUUUCAUAAAUCAUAGGUUUCAAUUUACGAUAUUAUUUUCGUUGACCAAAUCUAGUAAUUUUCGCCAGUAAAAGUUUGUAGGUCAUUCAAUAAGAGAAGACUACUCUCCAUUGUUGGAAAAUAAGGUUAAAAUUGAUAUGGGUUAAAAAUGAGCUUGGUUUAAAAAUAGUUAUGAAUUAAAAUGGUUUAAAAGUGGUUGAAAAUAGUUCCUUAGAAUAAAGUCACAGAUCCCAUAACACUCUGUUUGGAUUAUUGUUCCCCGCCAUUUUAUAAUGUAUUGUAUUGUAUCGUAUUGUAUCGUAUCGUUUAUAAAUAUAAUGUUUGAAUAUAUUGUAUUGUUUCUAUUUGUUAAAUAUUAUUUUGAUGUUUUGUUUGACUGUAUACUACUGUAUUGUAACUGAUAAAUUGAUAAAAAUACCAUCAAUUGUUUAAAUAUUAAAUUUAUUAAAAAUUAUGCAUAAAAAUAAUUUAAAAUAAAAAAACAGGCGAAACACCUUAUGAAAGCAGAACAAAUGAGCGAGAAAGAAGAAGGCAAAACGAAGGAGUACAACUAAUUAAGAUUGAGUUAAAAGUAAAUUAGGAGAAAAAAAUAAAAUAAAAGGCGGCAAAACAUCUUUAACGUUGGUGGUAGAAGUUCUUGAAAAAAAAUAAAGUAGGUUGUAGGUUGGAGAUUUGGAGUUAAAAUAGAAAAAAAAAAAGUAAAGAGUAAAAAAGAAUUGUGGAAUAAUUAGUUAGGGCAUAAUUGAAAAAGAAAAAUAGGAAAAAAUCCCACCAUAUCAAAUCAGUUAUUUCAAAAAAGAUGACUUUUCAUUAUUUCGGGCAAUGGAUUUAACAAUACAAUACAAUUAAUUUUAAUGAAAUAAUUAAAACAAAUAUCAUGGGAUAACAAUACAAUACGAUAUAACGGGGAACAACAUCCAAACAAGUUGUAAGACCACUGAGGCUCUGAUAUUACUGUUGGAUUUUUUUCUUAAAGAUACAAUAGCAAGAAGAUUAUAAGCAUUGGUUGAAAAUGUCUUUUAUAAAUUGUAUUAACUAAGAGUGCUUUAAAUAUCCAACUUAAAACAGAAUAUGCAGUAAAUCUGCAGAAUAAAUAUUCAAAUUCAAAAACCUAAAUAACCUCAACUAAUUUAUCCAAUUAAAUUUAAAUUUGAACAAAGACUCCUCGUAUGACUAAAUUGCUUAUAAUUUUGAUAAAUCAAAUAUAAGCGGUAACAAAUGCAAUCCAACAGUUAGCCCAUCGGUCGUCUUAGUUUUAUAAAGUAAUAUUCUUCCUAUAUUAUUAUUUGCCGCAUAGCAAUCCCAAUAUUAUUAAUCACCAUAUAACAAUUUCUUCCUUACUAUUUAAUUUAUUGUAUAAACAAUUUCAGACAUUAUAAUCUAUGCAUAGUUUCUAAAACAGUAUCCUUUUUAAUGAACACUGCACAAAUCUUCAGGCGCUUUGUGUGUUAUUAAUUGAACGCUUAAACUAUGUUAGGCAACUUAUAUACUCACCAAAAGGACUAAUAUUAUCAAGGUGUUUAUAAUGUUAAUUUUCCACUCUCAUGCCCAAAAUAAGAAACCUAACCUUUAUUAUAAAUUUGCAGUCAUUCUGAAAGCGGAAACACUUGUGUGUUUGUAUAGUUGAGUUGUUUGGAUUAUCAAAGAAGAAAUAGAAUAUCCCAUUCUAGACAAGUUGUUUGGGGAUCUUUUCAUACUCACUCUCAAAUUUCAAAAGUAAUAAUAUUGAUCUGCAAUUGGAAUGCUAGGGAAUAAAGCCCCACUAAAAUUUGUCUUGUUUUGCUCGCAAAUGCCUCUUCCCUAUUAUUG
Molecule: long non-coding RNA, 5222 nt
Filed under: Nicotiana benthamiana
Lineage: Eukaryota; Viridiplantae; Streptophyta; Magnoliopsida; Solanales; Solanaceae
Description: long non-coding RNA (NBEN_LNC012962)
Source: RNAcentral